Molecule: long non-coding RNA, 135 nt
Organism: Helicoverpa zea (corn earworm)
Lineage: Eukaryota; Metazoa; Arthropoda; Insecta; Lepidoptera; Noctuidae
Exons: 2
Source: RefSeq, a predicted model, not a curated record
GUGGAAAAGUGUGAUAAGCUCUGAAAUAAAUAGCUUUAUCUUAACAUAUUAUCAUGGAGUCUUCUGGAACAAGAGCCCCACACAAACGUGUGGCUAAUUUCACGGCAGACGAAAAAGCUUUGUUAGCACAAUUAG